Molecule: ribosomal RNA, 620 nt
Filed under: Trichoderma asperellum
Lineage: Eukaryota; Fungi; Ascomycota; Sordariomycetes; Hypocreales; Hypocreaceae
Description: eukaryotic LSU rRNA
Rfam family: 5.8S ribosomal RNA (bases 228-381)
Source: RNAcentral
AAGCUAACAAGGUCUCCGUUGGUGAACCAGCGGAGGGAUCAUUACCGAGUUUACAACUCCCAAACCCAAUGUGAACGUUACCAAACUGUUGCCUCGGCGGGGUCACGCCCCGGGUGCGUCGCAGCCCCGGAACCAGGCGCCCGCCGGAGGAACCAACCAAACUCUUUCUGUAGUCCCCUCGCGGACGUAUUUCUUACAGCUCUGAGCAAAAAUUCAAAAUGAAUCAAAACUUUCAACAACGGAUCUCUUGGUUCUGGCAUCGAUGAAGAACGCAGCGAAAUGCGAUAAGUAAUGUGAAUUGCAGAAUUCAGUGAAUCAUCGAAUCUUUGAACGCACAUUGCGCCCGCCAGUAUUCUGGCGGGCAUGCCUGUCCGAGCGUCAUUUCAACCCUCGAACCCCUCCGGGGGAUCGGCGUUGGGGAUCGGGACCCCUCACACGGGUGCCGGCCCCGAAAUACAGUGGCGGUCUCGCCGCAGCCUCUCCUGCGCAGUAGUUUGCACAACUCGCACCGGGAGCGCGGCGCGUCCACGUCCGUAAAACACCCAACUUUCUGAAAUGUUGACCUCGGAUCAGGUAGGAAUACCCGCUGAACUUAAGCAUAUCAAAGGGGGGGNAAGAAA